Molecule: long non-coding RNA, 2303 nt
Organism: Thunnus maccoyii (southern bluefin tuna)
Lineage: Eukaryota; Metazoa; Chordata; Actinopteri; Scombriformes; Scombridae
Exons: 6
Source: RefSeq, a predicted model, not a curated record
AAACUUUUUCACUUUUAGUAUCAGGCAUCACACCCUGACCUUAACCACCGUCUGUCUGGGGCAGGCUAACCACACAGCUUGACAGAAAAGAACCUUUCCCCACUUCAGGACCAUCUAUUUUACGGUGUGUUUACGGGCGAACAAACAUUACGUGGCGUUUCAUUGACCUCAGGGGAAAGAGAGAGCUGAAGAGAGAGAGAGUCCAGAGAGGGGGAGCUGUGGAUCUCCUUUCCAGUCCGACUCCACCAUGUGAACAGCAGCAGAAUGAGCUGGUUAUGGUCUCCUUGCCUGAGAGGGGAGUCAGGUCUGCCUGCUGCCAUCGCUGAUUUACAUUCCUCUGGCUUCACCCUCAUCCAGCCAUUCACACAGCAGCUGGUGCAGGAAGGCUGCACACAAACACACAGUUGCACACAUAUACACUAAAUAAACUGUGGAAAGAAGUGCAUGUACACUUUCAGCAGUCACAAUUUACAAUUUUUACAUUGGAGGGCAAAUAUGAUUUGCUGAGAUCACAGAUACAGUAUAUUGGUAUCAGCCUAUAUGUUGGCAGAUAUGCAGUCUAGUCAUUUGUUAAAGUAACAACAACAUUUCAAUAAAUCUGUGUCUAUGUUUUAUGCUUAUAUUUAAUAAAUUAAUAGAUUUUUAUUUUUUAUUAUUUUCAAUUAUCAGUAAUGGCUUCAAAAAUGGGUAUGGGUCAGGCUCUAAUUACAUUAACUUAAUCACUUGCCCCGUCACUGUUGCUACAUCAAGCUCUCUGUUCUUGCAUGGCACAUAUGCAUUUUACAAUAAUAACGGUGGAAGAUUUACCACUUGUAGUACUUAUAGUAUUUUUUAAACAAUGGCUUCUUUAUUUCACACAGAAUUAAACAAAAGCUGGCUUCUCAUUUCUAGCUGACAACCGUCAAUUUUGUUGGCUAGAAAUGACGCCUGUUCCUUGUAGAUGUUAUCAGCUGUAGCUAGCUAGCUAAUUAUCUCUGUGAGUUAGAGACAAAAACUCUGUCUGCAGCUUAGUUUUUAAUGUUUCCAGCUCACUUGUUUUAAAGCAAUAGCUGUGUAAAAGGAUAUUAUAUACACCUGAUGGCUACAUACAUGACAUGCUAAAAGACUGAGGUUAAAGCUCAAGUCUAAAAGUCAGCAUCUAUUCUUCACCAGUUAAUAACCCCUGUAGAUGACAUCAUGGAAAUAAAAGAGCAGUAUUGUAGAAUAGCUAUUCUGCCUACAGUAUCAUGAAUAAAAAUAUAAUUAAAAUGUCCUUAUACCUCUUUAUAUCUUUAUACAAGAGAAACGUUUUCUAUGAUGAGGACUAACUGAUUAGCAAACAUAACGCUCAGAUAAUGUUGACUGCGUUUGCUGGAAUGUAAACUUACCCACAUCAAAUACAGAGCACAAAGCUGUAAACAUUACCCUAAACUGCAUCCCACACAGUAGAUUUGUCUGAACUGGUCUGUAAACCUAUGUAAUAAGCUAGCUAAUGAUAUGCUCCUCCACUUUUGUAACGCCAUGUUACUAGGUAGUAAGCUAGUUAGCCAAGCUUGCUAACGUUUGCAGCUUAUGUUAGAGCAGAUAACGUUACAGUUAGCACACAUUUUCAUUCUUGCGUUUUUGGUUUUUGGAAAGGCUACCCCUUACAAACUCUUUAAACCUGCAAUAAAUUAUUUUUUUGGCCACCUGGGGCAGCAGAACCAAGUUGUGAACACAAUACAUAGACAUAUGAUCACCUUUUAAGUUCAUAUGGUGAACUUGUUACGGAGCAACAUUAUCAUUCAAUUUGAAGUCAUGUUUCUGUCCACCUGAUGAAUGUUUAAUCACACCUUCCCCUGCUGUCACAGCUCUGCUCUCCCUGGGCCACAGUCCCAAUCCUAUCAGGCUGAAACAGGAACAAAGACCGCUGUCCCUCGCUUCAUACUCCCUCCAUCCCCGCUUUCACCCCACACCAAUCUCUAAAAAAUCCCCUCUUGGUCGUGGUCCUCACCUCUGUGCGACCUGCCGGAGCUCAUAAUCCAAACUCAUUUUGAAGGCAGAAAAGUCCCGGGAGCAUCAGCAUCAUCCAGCCCCACUCUGGCUGGUCCACUCUUGGAGCAGAUUGACUCUUUAAUCAUGCAGAUCACAACCACCUAAGUGACAAGUGUGUUUGUGUCUCUAUAUAUUGCUUCUUCUGCUGUGUGGUGUUUACUUGACAAUACCUGAUGAAGAUCACUGUUAGAUUGAAAUGUUGUUCUAUUCACUUAAAUCUGCUGGGAGCUGCUUGAAUAACGUCUCACGUUAGAGUGUUUUACUCCUCCCAUUAAAAUGUUUGAAAAAUG